Nematostella vectensis (starlet sea anemone) is the source of this 445-nucleotide long non-coding RNA. RefSeq lists it as uncharacterized. The record is from RefSeq and is a predicted model, not a curated record. NCBI's taxonomy places the organism in Eukaryota, Metazoa, Cnidaria, Anthozoa, Actiniaria, Edwardsiidae. The transcript is spliced from 3 exons.
UAGAUAAUUGCCACUCAGUGUGAAAACUGAGACAUGCUUUGAAAUCGUGGACACCUGUUUCGGGAUAAUAGGAGUUAUAAAAAGCAAUUAAGCACACUUUCUAGUCACAAGAGGCUGAAUACCAGGAACGGGGAAGCACAUCCUUCAAAGUUGUUGUCCUGCAAAAAUGAGAGCUGUACUGGUGGUCGGCAUACUGCUUGUUCUAGCCGCGUUUACCAGCGCGCAAUACAUAUCGACGUUCGGCGAUGAUCCAAAGCCCUUGAACCACUUGUCGUCGGACGCUCGAGUUGGAGAGAUGAGCACGGGAGAAUGGGAGAAAGACUCGCCACGAGCUAUAAAAGACAAGAUGCGCCUAAAUCCUUGAAUACAACAAUGAUGGAAGACGAUACUAAAUGCAUUAAGUAGAUGUAAUGUUUUAAUAAAGAGAACGGGGUACCCCGACUGA